RNAcentral lists this ribosomal RNA (246 nucleotides) under uncultured bacterium. RNAcentral's name for it is "partial small subunit ribosomal RNA". It matches the Rfam family "Bacterial small subunit ribosomal RNA", at positions 26 to 285 of the family's 1533-position model. The record is from RNAcentral.
AGAAUCAACGCUGGCGGCGUGCCUAACACAUGCAAGUCGCACGAGAAAGGGACUUCGGUCCUGAGUACAGUGGCGCACGGGUGAGUAACACGUGAAUCAUCUACCUCCGAGUGGGGAAUAACCUAGAGAAAUCUGGGCUAAUACCGCAUAACACUUACGAGUCAAAGCAGCAAUGCGCUUUGGAGAGGAGUUCGCGGCAGAUUAGUUAGUUGGCGGGGUAAUGGCCCACCAAGACGAUGAUCUGUA